RNAcentral lists this small nucleolar RNA (117 nucleotides) under Jaculus jaculus (lesser Egyptian jerboa). RNAcentral describes it as "Small nucleolar RNA SNORA70 (ENSJJAG00000007672.1)". It matches the Rfam family "Small nucleolar RNA SNORA70". Rfam says of the family: snoRNA U70 seems to be exclusive to mammals and is a member of the H/ACA class of snoRNA which contain H (ANANNA) and ACA box motifs. Lineage: Eukaryota; Metazoa; Chordata; Mammalia; Rodentia; Dipodidae. The record is from Rfam by way of RNAcentral.
AUGCCUACCAGUUCCUUUCCUCACUGUGGCCCUGGGUGCAAUGGCUGCACCCAGCAGCUUCUUUGGUAGUGUAGUAACCUGUUGUUUGUAUAGCUUGCUUGAGAACUGGGUGCAUUU